AACGAACGCUGGCGGCAGGCUUAACACAUGCAAGUCGAACGAAGUCUUCGGACUUAGUGGCGCACGGGUGAGUAACACGUGGGAAUAUGCCUCUUGGUGGGGAAUAACAUCGGGAAACUGAUGCUAAUACCGCAUACGCCCUUCGGGGAAGAUUUAUCGCCGAGAGAUUAGCCCGCGUCCGAUUAGCUAGUUGGUGAGGUAAUGGCUCACCAAGGCGACGAUCGGUAGCUGGUCUGAGAGGAUGAUCAGCCACACUGGGACUGAGACACGGCCCAGACUCCUACGGAGGCAGCAGUGGGGAAUAUUGCGCAAUGGGCGAAAGCCUGACGCAGCGACGCCGCGUGGGUGAUGAAGGCC
Molecule: ribosomal RNA, 357 nt
Filed under: uncultured bacterium
Lineage: Bacteria
Description: bacterial SSU rRNA
Rfam family: Bacterial small subunit ribosomal RNA
Source: RNAcentral